Molecule: ribosomal RNA, 485 nt
Filed under: uncultured Bradyrhizobium sp.
Lineage: Bacteria; Pseudomonadati; Pseudomonadota; Alphaproteobacteria; Hyphomicrobiales; Nitrobacteraceae
Description: bacterial SSU rRNA
Rfam family: Bacterial small subunit ribosomal RNA
Source: RNAcentral
CCGCGAAUUCGCCCUUGAGUUUGAUCCUGGCUCAGAGCGAACGCUGGCGGCAGGCUUAACACAUGCAAGUCGAGCGGGCGUAGCAAUACGUCAGCGGCAGACGGGUGAGUAACGCGUGGGAACGUACCUUUUGGUUCGGAACAACACAGGGAAACUUGUGCUAAUACCGGAUAAGCCCUUACGGGGAAAGAUUUAUCGCCGAAAGAUCGGCCCGCGUCUGAUUAGCUAGUUGGUGAGGUAACGGCUCACCAAGGCGACGAUCAGUAGCUGGUCUGAGAGGAUGAUCAGCCACAUUGGGACUGAGACACGGCCCAAACUCCUACGGGAGGCAGCAGUGGGGAAUAUUGGACAAUGGGCGCAAGCCUGAUCCAGCCAUGCCGCGUGAGUGAUGAAGGCCCUAGGGUUGUAAAGCUCUUUUGUGCGGGAAGAUAAUGACGGUACCGCAAGAAUAAGCCCCGGCUAACUUCGUGCCAGCAGCCGCGGUA